AUACGGAGGAUGCGAGCGUUAUCCGGAUUUAUUGGGUUUAAAGGGUGCGUAGGUGGAGAGAUAAGUCAGUGGUGAAAUCCUGAUGCUUAACGUUAGGAUUGCCGUUGAAACUGUUUUUCUAGAGUGUGAUUGAGGCAGGCGGAAUGUGUGGUGUAGCGGUGAAAUGCAUAGAUAUCACGCAGAACUCCGAUUGCGAAGGCAGCUUGCCAAGCCACAACUGACACUGAAGCACGAAAGCGUGGGGAUCAAACAGGAUUAGAUACCCUGGUAGUCCACGCAGUAAACGAUGAUUACUAGGAGUUUGCGAUAGACAGUAAGCUCCCGAGCGAAAGCGUUAAGUAAUCCACCUGGGGAGUACGCCGGCAACGGUGAA
This 373-nucleotide ribosomal RNA is filed under the name uncultured bacterium. RNAcentral describes it as "bacterial SSU rRNA". It matches the Rfam family "Bacterial small subunit ribosomal RNA", at positions 523 to 898 of the family's 1533-position model. The record is from RNAcentral.